CCCUGAUGUUAGCGGCGGACGGGUGAGUAACACGUGGGUAACCUGCCUGUAAGACUGGGAUAACUCCGGGAAACCGGGGCUAAUACCGGAUGCUUGAUUGAACCGCAUGGUUCAAUUAUAAAAGGUGGCUUUUAGCUACCACUUACAGAUGGACCCGCGGCGCAUUAGCUAGUUGGUGAGGUAACGGCUCACCAAGGCAACGAUGCGUAGCCAACCUGAGAGGGUGAUCGGCCACACUGGGACUGAGACACGGCCCAGACUCCUACGGGAGGCAGCAUUAGGGAAUCUUCCGCAAUGGACGAAAGUCUGACGGAGCAACGCCGCGUGAGUGAUGAAGGUUUUCGGAUCGUAAAACUCUGUUGUUAGGGAAGAACAAUUACCGUUCAAAUAGGGCGGUACCUUGACGGUACCUAACCAAAAAGCCACGGCUAACUACGUGCCAGCAAC
Molecule: ribosomal RNA, 447 nt
Filed under: Bacillus licheniformis
Lineage: Bacteria; Bacillati; Bacillota; Bacilli; Caryophanales; Bacillaceae
Description: bacterial SSU rRNA
Rfam family: Bacterial small subunit ribosomal RNA
Source: RNAcentral